UACGUAGGCAGCGAGCGUUGUUCGGAAUUACUGGGCGUAAAGAGUGUGUAGGCGGUGCUCUAAGUUCGGUGUGAAAUCUCCUGGCUUAACUGGGAGGGUGCGCCGAAAACUGGAGUGCUCGAGCGUGGGAGAGGAAAGCGGAAUUCCUGGUGUAGCGGUGAAAUGCGUAGAUAUCAGGGGGAACACCUGCGGUGUAGACGGCUUUCUGGACCAUUGCUGACGCUGAGACACGAAAGCGUGGGUAGCAAACAGG
Molecule: ribosomal RNA, 253 nt
Filed under: uncultured bacterium
Lineage: Bacteria
Description: partial 16S ribosomal RNA
Rfam family: Bacterial small subunit ribosomal RNA
Source: RNAcentral